RNAcentral lists this transfer RNA (75 nucleotides) under Spirochaetota bacterium. RNAcentral describes it as "Spirochaetes bacterium (wastewater metagenome) tRNA-Pro". It matches the Rfam family "tRNA". From Rfam's summary of the family: Transfer RNA (tRNA) molecules are approximately 80 nucleotides in length. Lineage: Bacteria; Pseudomonadati; Spirochaetota. The record is from RNAcentral.
CGGGGCGUGGCUCAGUUCGGCUAGAGCGCGUGGUUUGGGACCAUGAGGUCGGAGGUUCAAAUCCUCUCGCCCCGA